UGUGAACGCUGGCGGUAGGCCUAACACAUGCAAGUCGAACGGCAGCACAGUAAGAGCUUGCUCUUACGGGUGGCGAGUGGCGGACGGGUGAGGAAUACAUCGGAAUCUACUUUUUCGUGGGGGAUAACGUAGGGAAACUUACGCUAAUACCGCAUACGACCUACGGGUGAAAGUAGGGGAUCUUCGGACCUUGCGCGAUUGAAUGAGCCGAUGUCGGAUUAGCUAGUUGGCGGGGUAAAGGCCCACCAAGGCGACGAUCCGUAGCUGGUCUGAGAGGAUGAUCAGCCACACUGGAACUGAGACACGGUCCAGACUCCUACGGGAGGCAGCAGUGGGGAAUAUUGGACAAUGGGCGCAAGCCUGAUCCAGCCAUACCGCGUGGGUGAAGAAGGCCUUCGGGUUGUAAAGCCCUUUUGUUGGGAAAGAAAAGCAGCAGGUUAAUACCCCGCUGUUCUGACGGUACCCAAAGAAUAAGCACCGGCUAACUUCGUG
Molecule: ribosomal RNA, 492 nt
Filed under: uncultured bacterium
Lineage: Bacteria
Description: partial 16S ribosomal RNA
Rfam family: Bacterial small subunit ribosomal RNA
Source: RNAcentral